RNAcentral lists this ribosomal RNA (435 nucleotides) under uncultured Oscillospiraceae bacterium. RNAcentral's name for it is "bacterial SSU rRNA". It matches the Rfam family "Bacterial small subunit ribosomal RNA", at positions 341 to 792 of the family's 1533-position model. The record is from RNAcentral. Lineage: Bacteria; Bacillati; Bacillota; Clostridia; Eubacteriales; Oscillospiraceae.
ACGGAAGGCAGCAGUGGGGAAUAUUGCACAAUGGGCGCAAGCCUGAUGCAGCGAUGCCGCGUGAGGGAAGAAGGUUUUCGGAUUGUAAACUAUUGUCGUGAGGGAAGAAAUUUGACAGUACCUCAGGAGGAAGCUCCGGCUAACUAUGUGCCAGCAGCCGCGGUAAUACAUAGGGAGCAAGCGUUAUCCGGAUUUAUUGGGUGUAAAGGGUGCGUAGACGGAGAAGCAAGUUAGUUGUGAAAUCCCUCGGCUUAACUGAGGAACUGCAACUAAAACUACUUCCCUUGAGUGUCGGAGAGGAAAGUGGAAUUCCUAGUGUAGCGGUGAAAUGCGUAGAUAUUAGGAGGAACACCAGUGGCGAAGGCGACUUUCUGGACGAUUACUGACGUUGAGGCACGAAAGUGUGGGGAGCAAACAGGAUUAGAUACCCUGGUA